Molecule: long non-coding RNA, 348 nt
Filed under: Microcebus murinus (gray mouse lemur)
Lineage: Eukaryota; Metazoa; Chordata; Mammalia; Primates; Cheirogaleidae
Description: lncRNA (ENSMICG00000048328.1)
Source: RNAcentral
GCAGAAACAUACUUUAUCAAAAGCAGAACCAGAGCAAAUGUGGGAUGCGCUUUUUAAAACGGUUGCUGGUGACUGAACUGCAGAAAGCAAAAUCACAGACGAGGGGGACUACUAUAAAUUCAUACUGGUUGAAUAAAUAUUGGAGAUUCUCUCUGGCUCCUUUACAGGCAUGUUGCAUGGAUGUGACUCUUGACUGCUCUGAGGUUACUUUCUUAAAGCUUUUAAUUCAAAGUUAAAGAAGAAUUUUUUUCACUCCCCAGUCUGAGAAUUCCAGAGAUCUACAUCAGAGAGGAAAUAUAGUUGUCAUUCUCAUUACAGAGGCUGCAUUCGCCCCUGGAUUCACAGCUG